UUAAUGAGAGUUUGAUCCUGGCUCAGGACGAACGCUGGCGGCGUGCCUAAUACAUGCAAGUAGAACGCUGAGGUUUGGUGUUUACACUAGACUGAUGAGUUGCGAACGGGUGAGUAACGCGUAGGUAACCUGCCUCAUAGCGGGGGAUAACUAUUGGAAACGAUAGCUAAUACCGCAUAAGAGUAAUUAACACAUGUUAGUUAUUUAAAAGGAGCAAUUGCUUCACUGUGAGAUGGACCUGCGUUGUAUUAGCUAGUUGGUGAGGUAAAGGCUCACCAAGGCGACGAUACAUAGCCGACCUGAGAGGGUGAUCGGCCACACUGGGACUGAGACACGGCCCAGACUCCUACGGGAGGCAGCAGUAGGGAAUCUUCGGCAAUGGACGGAAGUCUGACCGAGCAAC
RNAcentral lists this ribosomal RNA (403 nucleotides) under Salmonella enterica. Its description in RNAcentral is "bacterial SSU rRNA". It matches the Rfam family "Bacterial small subunit ribosomal RNA", at positions 1 to 395 of the family's 1533-position model. Lineage: Bacteria; Pseudomonadati; Pseudomonadota; Gammaproteobacteria; Enterobacterales; Enterobacteriaceae. The record is from RNAcentral.